CGACGAAUCUUCCGCAAUGGGCGAAAGCCUGACGGAGCAAUGCCGCGUGUGGGAUGAAGGUCUUCGACGUGUAAACCACUGCAGGGGGCGUAUUCCUCCAGAGGAAGGGCCGGCUAACCCUGUGCCAGCAGCCGCGGUAAGACAGGGGGCCCGAGCGUUACUCGGAAUCACUGGGCUUAAAGGGAGCGUAGGCGGAGUCGUAAGUGCUUCGUGAAAACCCACGGCUUAACCGUGGAACUGCGGGGCAUACUGCGAUUCUUGAGGCAGGUAGGGGCGGAUAGAACUAUCGGUGGAGCGGUGAAAUGCGUAGAUAUCGAUAGGAAUGCCGAUGGCGAAGGCGAUCCGCUGGGCCUGUCCUGACGCUGAGGCUCGAAAGCGUGGGAGCAAACAGGAUUAGAUACCCCAGUAGU
RNAcentral lists this ribosomal RNA (410 nucleotides) under uncultured bacterium. RNAcentral describes it as "bacterial SSU rRNA". It matches the Rfam family "Bacterial small subunit ribosomal RNA", at positions 355 to 794 of the family's 1533-position model. The record is from RNAcentral.